GCCCAUACGUGCACGCAACACCUCCGCGUAGCGUCGGUGCAGGACCAUAUGAUAUGAACAUCAUCGCUAUAAAUAAACCGUUCAACCUGCAUACCAAUUCGCAGCAACUCGACGACAAUACAAUACAACACGAUACACCACCAGUUCAUCUUGUAGCACAUCGAUCGGAGUAAAGUGCGUGAAAAUCAAGGAUAAUGGACGCGACCAACAAGGCGACCGGGCACGGCGGCGCCACCGGCCCCGCGGGGAACCACGGCGGGGCUCCUGCCGGUGCUGGUGCCGGGGGCGUGCAGCAGCUCCAGGCGACGAGGGACGACCGCAAGACCGACGGUGGCCUGGGCCGUUCCGGCGGGCCCACGGGGAACCACGGCGGUGCUCCUGCCGUCGGCGCGGCCGCCGCCGGUGAGAAGAAGGGCGUCGUGGAAAAUAUCAAGGAGAAGCUUCCCGGCGCCGGCGGGCAGCAGUGAGAGCGUCGAGUCACUGAGCUACAUGUACCACACAGCCUCUGGCACUACGUGUAAAAAGCUCAGCCACGCUUUUACAAAUAAAUAACGAGCUGUGUAUGUAUGCAUGCAUGUACCGAUGUACUUGUCUUCCAUCGGAAUAAAAAUACUUGUGUUUUGUAAGAAUUUGAACGGGAAAUAUAUUUUCAUUGGCGUACAGGGUUGAUUUUCAUGUUUUUGCGUUUUCCCCCAAUGUUUCGGCUUCGACUAUGUGUCCUAUACAUAUAUGUUUACUCUCAAAAAAAAAAAGAGUCAUUCCCAGAGCUAGUAAAUAAAAUCCUACACAGAAACUGGGUUGACCUCCC
This 808-nucleotide ribosomal RNA is filed under the name Triticum aestivum (bread wheat). Its description in RNAcentral is "partial small subunit ribosomal RNA". Lineage: Eukaryota; Viridiplantae; Streptophyta; Magnoliopsida; Poales; Poaceae. The record is from RNAcentral.